UACGGAGGGUGCGAGCGUUAUCCGGAAUCACUGGGCGUAAAGGGCGCGUAGGCGGUUUACUAAGUCAGGUGUUAAAGCGUGGGGCUCAACCCCAUAAGGGCGCCUGAUACUGGUAAGCUAGACGACUGGAGAGGGAGGUAGAAUUACCAGAGUAGCGGUGGAAUGCGUAGAUACUGGUAGGAAUACCCAUAGCGAAGGCAGCCUUCUGGACAGUUAGUGACGCUGAGGCGCGAAAGUGUGGGGAGCGAACCGG
RNAcentral lists this unclassified non-coding RNA (253 nucleotides) under uncultured Trueperaceae bacterium. RNAcentral's name for it is "contains 16S-23S intergenic spacer region". It matches the Rfam family "Bacterial small subunit ribosomal RNA", at positions 524 to 776 of the family's 1533-position model. Lineage: Bacteria; Thermotogati; Deinococcota; Deinococci; Trueperales; Trueperaceae. The record is from RNAcentral.